ACGCAAAUGAUCAAGAGCCUAUCUAAAGCCAAUGUUUGGUUUGUCCGUUCUGGGCUACUGUAGAAACAUGGGGGCCGGCUCCGUAAAGAGGACCCUCUCCGUAUGUAGAUAUAAACGACUUAUUCUAAGGUAACGACAACGAUUCUUAUUUUCAGAGAAUUGAAAACAUUCUUAUUAAUAUUAUAUUCCAUUUCUGCCAAUA
Long non-coding RNA from Sebastes umbrosus (honeycomb rockfish), 202 nucleotides. RefSeq lists it as uncharacterized. Lineage: Eukaryota; Metazoa; Chordata; Actinopteri; Perciformes; Sebastidae. The transcript has 4 exons. The record is from RefSeq and is a predicted model, not a curated record.